AUAUACUAUUAGUCUAUAUUCACAAAGAGUAUAAGUACGUUGGUUGUGAAGGAGGCUAAUCAAGUUCAUGCUCAGAGUAAUAAACUGGGUGUGGCCAUGAUAAUGUAACCGUAGCAGUGAGUUGACAGCUCUAGAUUCUAUUUUUCAGGCUUGUCAUCAAGUCCAGGGGGGUGCUCAAGCCCCCAAAGCGCCCCACUGGAUCCGCCACUGACAUUAAUUGACCUCUUAGAUUACUUUACCUGCAUAAAAGUCUGCUUGGUAAGAGAUGUACAGUUAUGUUCCAGUAAGACUACUGGGAAAACCUGUUCAGCUCUAUAAGGACAGUUAAGAAUUACAUGAAUAAUGUCAUUGUGUACACAGAGGCAGACCAUUUCCCAUGGGCCAUGCAGCAUUACUAAGCAUACAAAAGUACAUGGAAAAUAUACUGCAGCUGGUCUAACAUGUAUAUCACAUGUUAAAAACGAAUUUUUGGGGUAAGUUUGUGGACAGGAAAUAGCGGGUGAGUGUAAAAGCUGGAAUGCGGAAUGGAAUGGAAUGGAAUAUGGAACGGAAUAUGGAAAGGCAAACUUAGUAAUAAAAAGAGAGCUGCUGAUGGUGCUCUGUAUUUUUUUUAGUGUAGUAUGACUUAAAUACUUGUAAAAAGUGUUACAUUAUAAACACACAGUUAAUUUUAGAAGACUGUUAGAUUCUAAUUGAAUUUCUGGGAUAUAACAUACAAAUUACAUGCAUAUACACAUUGUACAGUGUCUAGCCUUAGCCAAGUAUAAUUAUGCUGUGCCUAAAUUAAACAAGUAAAGUGUUGAAUAUAUACCUGCAAAGUUUUGGCCCUUGGUGAAACUUUAAACAAUUUGUGCGUAUUGAAGAGACAAUACUGACCAAGCCUUUUGCCACAAUUAUUAGGUUGUAAAGUCAGCAAAAUUCCACAUUUAUAUACUCUCAGCAAAGAAACUGCCACUAUGCAAUUGCGCAACAGUGUGUGCAAGUUGUUGAUCCUCUUUUCAAUAAACAGGGUGUCAUGUGAUGAUUCAGCCAGCUGCAUGCUAUCUCUUGGAUUAAUUGAGCAUGCAUGUGAUUUGCAAUGGAUAUUCAAAUACAUGUAUAUAGAGUAGAGUUUAAGCAAAAUGAUACCAAGAUGAUCUAGCGCUUUGAGAAUAAUUUCUCCAUAUAAAAGAUGGUCAGUGUGUCUCUUCAACACGCAUGCACAAAUUGUUUAAAGUUUCACCAAGGGUCAAAACGUUGCAGGCAUGCAGAUAGAAGAAAGGUAUAGCUCUGUAGCUGAUACACUUCACACUUCGCCUUGUUUUGGGUAUACAGCAUAAUUACCAUGCAAAGGGUAGACACGGAUCUUUUUAAUGUUGCUAGCUACUGAGUAGUCUACUCCUCUGGCUCAUAAAAAUUAAUUUAUAAAAGUAGCUGUGUCUAUAAAAGGCUUCUGUAACACUAUUUAAGUCAGCAGCUCCCUUUUUAUUACUAAAUUUGUCAUUCCAUAUUCCAUUCCAUUCCACACUCCAGCUUGAAGCAAAGGCUUGAAGUAUCCAUGGCCAAUCAAGUAAGUAUCAACCCACCAGAGGGCCACAAAUAUAACUAUACUGUUCCACUCCAUAAAAAGCUCACGCAGGACUUGAGUGAACAUACCAUGCAUGUGGAUUACCCUGCAGUAGAGCAGACUGAACCAAGAAUAUUUCUUUUCUAAUAUAAGUAAUAUGACAUUGUAUGAUUGAGGAAUAAGCCACCAGAAACUCUUACUACUCAGUAUAGAGGGGGGUGUUCAUGUGAACCUUAUCCAAAGCCUCAUUGAGAACGGCAUCUGCAGUGGUUGCAUGCACUGGGACUAUCACAGCAGCUAGAGUCAGCAAGCAAUCAAAGCCGCAUUUCUCUAUUAUAGUCGAUAUUGCAAGUUCAGCUUUUGCUCGCUUUUACUAGACAACAAAGCUUUAACAUCAAAAUCUUACUUUUUGAGAAGCUAUAGCUAUAUUCAUGCUGUAAUAUGAUUAAUUUUAUCCUAGCAGCUGCAUGGCUAUCAUCGUUUUGCAAGUUAGAAAUAUCCUCUUCAUGCAUGCAGAUCUAAUAGCAAUAUCAUAAUUAAUUUUGAUUGACAACCACAGAUUACCACCCAUAGCCAUGUUUGCAGACCUCUUUCCCAGUAUUUCUCUGCUAUUUGCUUCUGCAUGUUACAUAACUUCUGUGUACUAACUAUAAUUUAAAGGUGUUAAAUGCAUGCCACUGCAUGUAUGGAUGCCUGCAUGUUCUUGUGUUAAUUACCACAGACUGAGGCCAUGCAUGCAUGCAGCAUUUCUCGGUUAAUUGGCUCUAUAGAUCUAACUGUCAGUGCAUGUAGAUCUAGGCUUGCAGAGAGUCCUAUUGUUGGUGUGUACUGGCGGUAUGUUGGUGUGAACCUUAUCCAAAGCUGAGGUAUUGAGAGCGGCAUCUGCAGUGGUUGCACUGGGACUGUCACAGCAGAGUCAGCAAGCAAUCAAAGCCGCGUUUCUCUAUUAUAGUCGAUAUAUAUUGCAAGUUCAGCUUGUGCUCGCUUUUACUAGACAACAAAGCUUUAACAUCAAUUUGAGAAGCUAUAUUAUAUAUAUAGCUAUAUUCAUACUGUAAUCCUAUAACGAUGACAAAACGAUGAUAGCCAUGCAGUUAGGGUUAGGGUUAGCCUAGCCUCCUUCACAAGGCCUAAACAAUCGAGGAAGAGCGGCCUGGGAUCGAGGCUAGGGUUAGCCUAACCCUAACCUUAACCCUAACCCAUAGCAGCUGCAUGGCUGUCAUUGUUUUGCAAGUUAGAAAUACCCACAAGCAUGCAUGCAAUAUCAUAAUUUUGAUUGACAACCACAGAUUACCACCAUAGCCAUGUUUGCAGACCUCUUUCCCAGUAUUUCUCUGCUAUUUGCUUCUGCAUGUUACAUAACUUUUAUGUACUAACCAUAAUUUAUUAAAAGGUGUUCAUUCAUAAUUAUGUGCAUCAUUGGUCUCAUAUUAGGUGCUGUUGUUGUGGUCAUCAGUAUAAGACCACAUACCAGGCAUACCCAAGUUCUGUGAGCUCAGUACCUGCAUGGGGUAUGGAAACCUCUAUAAUGAUGCAUGUUGAUUGACAAGCAUGACCACUGCAUGUAUGGAUGCAUGUUCUUGUUAAUUAGGCCAUACAUGCAGCAUUUCUCGGUUAAUUGGCUCCUGUUUACUAACUAUCUGUGCAUGUAUAGAUCUAGGCAUGCACGAGAGUCCUAUGCAUGCAUGUGUUUGCAAAACCGCCGACACGCAUUAUACAUCUAGCGGGUAAUUUUCGUUCAUUUAAAUUUUUGUAUAGACUAUACCCAUUUGAAUAUUUCGUAUUUUAAAUAUUCGUACAGCUUAGGAUAGUAACGUUAAAUCUAUUACGGUAAAAUAAUUUUAAUUUUCGUAUAAAUAAUGCUCUUCAAUAAGUUAUACCAAGCAUACAGAUAGCUACAAUGUCACCAUGAUAAUAAUGCUGCAGUAUCACUAUAAUUAUAGAAUUUAUGGCAAACGUAAACCAUCCUUGGCCUCGGGCUUCGCCCUCGUCCUCGGAGGUUUACUGCCAUAAAUUCUGAUGUAUAUAGUGGAAUAAGUAUAUAAUAGGGUGCACGGGUACAUUACUUUAUGCUGCAUGGAAAAUUUGAGUAUAAUGGGCAUGCAUUCUUUGUUCGACAACUACCAAAUCAUGAUGUCUUACAGUACAUGCUGAGAUCUGAUCUAUAUAAUUAUGAUUUUAAAGCAUGGCUCAGAUGAAUUAUUUUGUAUCAAAAUAAUGAUUAUCAAUUUAAUCAUGGGUGAAAUCACUAGCAUAAUGGCAAAAGCAUAAUCAUAAUGGGUACUACUCUAGAUCUAUAGUUUCCUUAAAUUCUUUGAGCAUAUAUUUAUUAUUGAGCAUAAUAAUUGUGUAGAGAAUUGGAAAAAAGCAUGAUGUAUAUAAUUAUAUAUACCCACCCCUAACAUUACUCUUGCAAGAAGGUGUGAAAACACUGUGAAACACAUGCAGGAUGCGACUUCAAGACAUGUUGUAGGCCUUGUGGUAACAACUGGGGUGCUCAAGUACGUGUGUAUAGCUUUAAAUUUAUAUAAUGAUGGUUGCGGUUCAUUAGCUUAUGGAGGGAGUGAAUUCAAGCAAGUUAUGUAUACUACAAAAUGAACUCGUAUAACUGGGUCUUAUACCACACUUACAUCACCACUAAUUGAUCUCAUUGGUCAACAGCUGUAGGAUAUAUAGCAUACAACAGCCCCAAGCAUGCACAGUUUUUCAAGUUGUUUUUUAGUUUUUUCAUUUGUUCAAGAAAGUAAGCAAAGAGAAAAGAGCCAUGCUUGACGGUACUAAGACUCAAAGCGACGGCAGAAACACGGAAGGUGCUCUCCAACAAGAUGCUAAGCUUAGCUUCCAUGGGUCCAUGGGCGCGGUUUAGAUACAUUUUAUCCAAGAAGAGCUUGCAACUCCAGUAAGGGACGUCGAAUGGUCAACGCUUGGACCAAGGAAGCUCUUGAGCAUCUGUAGGAGUCAACAUGUUGCUCAACUAGCUCUUUGACGGCUGCAAAAUCCGGCAUAGUCUUGUUCUUUUUUGCAGUCUGCAUCGUGAUUGAAUUGUUGCUAGGGGGAGGUCCUUUUAUAGUGCUGCGGUCACGUGGUAUAAGUUAGAUAUGCCACACCUACUCGGAGGAUAUGCACCCUAUAUAUCCUCCGCUACCGUGGUUACACACCCCUCGGUUCCGCCUAGACUCGCAAGCCACUCCCUUUUCUCUGAUUGGACGGGGGCGGGAGAAAAGGGACUGGUGACUCUGGGACACAUUUUGUGUCUCUACCAGAAUUUGGGUAGAGAUUAUUCAUUGAUUUUUCCACGUGAUCCAAAAAUUGCGUGAAGUUAAGUAGAAUUGCGUAGCCGCAAAAGUGAUCGCGGGCUUCUUAGCUACAGUUUAAGAAUGGAUGCUAGUGCUAGAAAAGAGAAGAUGAUGGAGUAAUAACAUCAUCAGGCAUUCAGCUAGGAUAUAGUCAUCUAAGACACCAGCAGAGAUUAGCUUGUUUUAGUUUUACGUGAUGAGAACUGGCAGCCGAAAGUCAUUGGUUGCCUAAAGCUUUUAAUAACCUGUACAAUACAAGACAGAUAAUGGCAGACGGCAGCAGUUGAAUUGAGAGUAGUCAGACUUGUACAAGCUGUCUUAAAUCGCUGCCACUCCUCGGUUCAAAGAAGGACUGCCAAGAUUUCUACGUUCAUCAGCUGUUCCAUGCUAAUCCACAAGUUGUGGCACAACAGACACUGGUACAAGGAUCUAUAAAAUCAAAAGGCUGGCUAGAUAGAUCUGUAUACUUGUCUUCUGUGUGUCUUUAGCUUUUGACGCAUCAGAAUAAAUUGGAUAAUUUGCACCUGACAUUAAUAUUUAAUAGCAUUCCUGAUUUACACAAGCUGUAGCCCAGAGUCACCAGUCCCUUUUCUCCCGCCCCCGUCCAAUCAGAGAAAAGGGAGUGGCUUGCGAGUCUAGGUUCCGCCUCGGAGUAACCACGGUAGCGGAGGAUAUAUGGGUGUAUAUCCUCCUCUUAGGUGUGGUAUAUCCUAUACUUGGUAGAUUAUGCUAGCAUAUGAUAAUCUUUAGCAUAAUAGGCAUCUUAUUCAAGUUGUGUGAGCUGGCAUAAAUGCAUGGGUACCUUUAUUCAGUACGAGAAUAAUAGGCAGGCUUUGGAAAAACAAUUGUAUAGGCCUUAUGCUUUAACAUGCAAUUAUGUGUAAUUUCUCAUAAUGUAUUUAUAAUUUAUCUCCUUAUAGCACGGCAUGAUAUUUUAGGUUAGAUCUAUAGUGUUUAACGAAGUCAUGCAUUAUUGGCCAUUAUAAAGUUUGUGAUGUUACUUGUAUGACAUCAAUAGUGUGGUUCACGUUGAGCUUGUGGUUUAUCCUGCAUGGGAAUAAUAGGCAAUCUGAAAUCAAUAUUUUGAGCAUAGACUCUCAAAUAAUUGACUUCAGAAACACCUCAUAAUCAUACUGCUGUAUUAUUAUUAUUCAUUAUAAUAGAGCUACAUUAAAAACUGUAAGCACUGUGCACUGCAUGCAGGUCCUGUGACAUUGAUCUGAUAUGCGCAAUGUGUCAUUAUUAUUAUGGUGAGUCAUGUGCUUCUUAGUAACUGCUAAAUGUUUUGCCAUUGGAAUGUGCAAAUAGAAUUAACUAGGUCAAUUAACACUUCAUGAUAACCUUUUCUUGGAUACAGAUCACAUUACAUUCUCUAAAAGUAUAUAGAUGCCAUACAGUUAAAAUGACUCUGCGUGCAUACUGCAUGUACCAAGGUCAACAUGCCUACUGCAUGUACCAAGGUCAACAUGCAGGCUAUAUAAAUGAGCUAAAAACAGAGAGUAGCAUAUGCAAUUUGUAAGCAGCCAAGGAACCAAUUUGAAAAAUGAAGAUCUUCGCUUUCCUCCUGGUGUCAGUGGCUUUGUGCUCACAACAAAUGGUGAAUGGAUCAUCUGCGAAAAAUGUGCUGAAGGCGGUUCAGAGGAGCCGAAACAACAAAGAAGCCCUAGCACAAGCGUUGAUACUGCAAGCUUUAAAAGAUUCGUCCAAUGCAGUGAAAGAAUCAAGAAUUACCUAUGAAGACAGAGGUAGAGCCCGCAUUAGUCAAGUAGCAUCUUUCCUAACUAUCCAGGACUGUGGAACUGCUGGAAAUAUUGUAAAUACUGUAUUGCAGGCGUCACUAGGCUGGAUUCCUAACAUUGCAAACGCUGUAAACGUUUUGGUCAACUGUGGAAUAUCGUCAGGCUGCACACAAGUGAGAGUCGAUGUACCAGCAGGCAAUACCGUGGCUGAUAUUGAUGUUUGCACUGUUAGCGGUGGCGGUUUUUGUGUGGAGGUAUAUGCAGGUGCAUCGUGUGCAGUUGGUGGAAUACCAAUCCCAAUUCCUGUCCUCAUUAACGUCCCCAUAACUUCAACUGGAACAACUGCUCCAAUCACACUGACCGUUAGCCUAAAUCUACUUGAUUUAAACAGUCCUCCAUGUGUGAUGAUUAACGUGGGAAAUGAUCCAAUAUGUUCAAACAACUAAAAAAGCAAAGAACAUGCGUACUGUUGUAGACAAACAAUUAGGUAGCUAUAGCUGCUGUAUUGAGUGACUGGGAAAUCUAGCGUAUCCCAUAAAAAAGUAGAGUAUAUCUGUUUUGUGGUACAAUUUCUUAAUUUUGAGUUGACUAUUAUAGAUAUCUAUGACUAUAUAUACUGCAUGUAUAAUGUAUGUAAAAUUUCUCGGGACAGGCAGUAUUUAGGUAUAUAUGUACAGAAUGAGCUUAGUAUUGUGGCAAGAGAUCUGAUGCACAGCAGUUUGAGCUAUAGCUAUAUAGCAAGCGACGAGCAAGUUGGACAGAUACAAUAGAGAUCACAGAAAUAACAUGGCACAGAUAAGGAACAGAGAGGCACAUGCAGGGCCUCUUUACAAAACAGUAUUGUCUACUAACACAAAGUACAA
Long non-coding RNA from Halichondria panicea, 7444 nucleotides. RefSeq lists it as uncharacterized. NCBI's taxonomy places the organism in Eukaryota, Metazoa, Porifera, Demospongiae, Suberitida, Halichondriidae. The record is from RefSeq and is a predicted model, not a curated record. The transcript has 3 exons.